GGUUGGAAGGGUCCUUAGAGAUCAUAGAACCACAGGGUGGUUGGGUUGGAAGGGUCCUUAAAGAUCAAAGAACCACGGGAUGGUUGGUUGGAAGGGUCCUUCAAGACCAUAGAGGUACGAGAUGGUUGGGUUGGAAGGGUCCUUAAAGAUCAUAGAGCUAUGGGAUGGUUGGGUUGGAAGGGUCCUUAAAGAUGACAGAACCACAGGAUGGUUGGGUUGGAAGGGUCCUUAAAGAUCAUAGAGACACGGGAUGGUUGGGUUGGAAGGGUCCUUCAAGACCAUAGAGCUAUGGGAUGGUUGGGUUGGAAGGGUCCUUGAAGAUCAUAGAGGCACGAGAUGGUUGGGUUGGAAGAGUCCUUAAAGAUGACAGAACCACAGGGUGGUUGGGUUGGAAGGGUCCUUAGAGAUCAUAGAACCAUGGGAUGGUUGGGUUGGAAGGGUCCUUAAAGAUCAUAGAGCCACGGGAUGGUUGGGUUGGAAGGGUCCUUAAAGAUCAUAGAGGCACGGGAUGGUUGGGUUGGAAGGGUCCUUAAAGAUCAUAGAGCCAUGGGAUGGUUGGGUUAGAAGGGUCCUUAAAGAUCAUAGAGCCAUGGGAUGGUUGAGUUGGAAGGGUCCUUAAAGAUCAUAGAACCACAGGAUGGUUGGGUUGGAAGGGUCCUUAAAGACCAUAGAGGCACGAGAUGGUUGGGUUGGAAGGGUCCUUAAAGAUCAUAGAGCCACAGGAUGGUUGGGUUGGAAGGGUCCUUAAAGAUCAAAGAACCACGGGAUGGUUGGGUUGGAAGGGUCCUUAAAGAUCAUAGAGGCACAGGAUGGUUGGGUUGGAAGGGUCCUUAAAGAUCAUGGAGCCAUGGGAUGGUUGGGUUGGAAGGGUCCUUAAAGAUCAUAGAGCCAUGGGAUGGUUGGGUUGGAAGGGUCCUUAAAGAUCAUAGAGCCAUGAGAUGGUUGGGUUGGAAGGGUCCUUAAAGACCAUAGAGCCAUGGGAUGGUUGGGUUGGAAGGGUCCUUAAAGAUCAUAGAGCCAUGGGAUGGUUGGAAGGGUCCUUAGAGAUCACAGAGCCAUGGGAUGGUUGUGUUGGAAGGGUCCUUAAAGGUCAUAGAGCCAUGGGAUGUAAAGGGAUGCUGCUUGGGCAGAGGUGGACGGGCAGAGCCGAUGGAGCAGCGGCAGCCCGGUGGGUCGCCUCCUUUGAGCGCUGUGUGGUUCGGGACCGGUGCUGGUUGUGCUGCACCAAAGCAGCCCCCCAUAACAUCCCUGUUUUGCUCUCCCAUGACGCCAUGCUGGCCUCAAGCAGUGGGUUUAUGGAGAAGAAUUUUGUACUUCUUUUGAACGGGUGAGGAAGGGGUGCAGGAGGUGCUUUGCGACACGUAGCACAGCUUUCUCCGGGUUGGCGAGAGGUGCUAUUGGGUGAGGAGGGAUCCGGGCUCCGCUGUGUGUCCUUGGGGCAGGAAUCUUCCAUCAGUGCACCCAGCUCUGCUUGCAAGGCCUCCAGGUCUCCCCCCGUCGCUCCUGUUGAGUCCCCAUGGUCGUCCAACCCAACACGCGUGCCUUGUUUCCAUUCACACCUACCAACCUUGGCCAGGUGUGGCUCUGCUCAUUGCCCUGUCCCUGUUGUGUCCCACUGGCAGCGUUCUGUUUCCACCUCUUCUGUCUCUUCCCGACCUUCCUCUGAGCACAGAGCGUGGCUGCGUCGCCGCGCUGCCGACCUGCGGGCACAGCUGUGACCCACAGGGAUCGCCAGUCCUCUGCAGGGCUCCUUAAUCAUAGACCCACAGAGCCAUAGAAUGGCCUGGGUUGCAAAGGCUGAAGGUGAGCAUCAGCUCCAAGCCCCUGCUGUGUGCAGGUCGCCAACCAGCAGCCCAGGCUGCCCAGAGCCACAUCCAGCCUGGCCUCCAAUGCCUGCAGGGAUGGGGCAUCCACAGCCUCCUUGGGCAACCUGUGCCAGUGCCUCACCGCCCUCUGCAUGAAAAACUUCCUCCUCACAUCCAACCCAAACCUCCCCUGUCUCACUUUAAAGCCAUUCCCCUCGUCCCAUCACCACCCACCCUCACACACAGCCGUUCCCCUCCUGUUUAUCCGCUCCCUUCAAGCACUGAAGGCCACCAUGAGGUCUCCCUGGAUCCUUCUCUCCUCCAAGCCAAUCAAUCCCAGUUCCCUCCGCCAUUCCUCGUAGCAGAGCUGCUCCAGCCCUCUGACAUCUCAAUGCCCUCCUCUGGACCCGCUCCAUAAGCUCCAAGAGCUUCGCAGCUCCUGCUGUUCGGAUGGGGAUGCUCUGCUCAGCACUGGCCUGAUGCUCACACUGUUGUCGGUGUCUGGUGGUGCUGCUGGCAGCGGUGAGAGCCGUGCUUCUCCUGCCCUGCACAGCCCCGCAGGGGGCAGCUUUCGCUGGUUGGCCCCCCAGGAGCAGAGCUGGCGAUGUGGGACGGCGCGGCGCGGCGGCGGGGAGGCCAGGAGUGAUGAGCAGCGCAGAGCGAGGCGGUGCUGGCGGUUGUGUUCGGAGGGGGGAGGACAGGAAUGAGGGGCAGGAGGAGCUCGUCGUUGUGGGAAAAGGUGAACAGCGGGGUCAGCGUUCCGUGUCAGCGUCCCGUUCGGUUUGGCAGAGUUGCUCAUGGCGUGAGAAGCACCGUGCUCAAUGUGGUUUGCAGAAAACAUGGAAGCUGUGGGGGACACUGAGCCGUAGAACCACAGGAUCGGGUUGGAUGAGACCUCUCACAUCACCGCUCCAACCCG
Molecule: long non-coding RNA, 2724 nt
Organism: Tympanuchus pallidicinctus (lesser prairie-chicken)
Lineage: Eukaryota; Metazoa; Chordata; Aves; Galliformes; Phasianidae
Exons: 6
Source: RefSeq, a predicted model, not a curated record